Molecule: long non-coding RNA, 287 nt
Filed under: Solanum tuberosum (potato)
Lineage: Eukaryota; Viridiplantae; Streptophyta; Magnoliopsida; Solanales; Solanaceae
Description: long non-coding RNA (STUB_LNC008913)
Source: RNAcentral
UCAAAGUAAGUAAGUAUUGCUUAUGUUAAUAUUUAAGUUUUUUGUUAGUUAUCAUUGAAUCAUUUAUUUUAUAUAUUUUUUAGUGGUUGUGUAUUAUUCACUUGUUUACAUGCUGAGAGUUUUUUCCAAGGCAAAAAGACAUCACAUUAUCAUAUUUUGAAUCAACAUUAUUCCAGACGAGAUAAGCUGCCUUGCUUUGCAAUUAUGCCAUGAAAAAGAUAGAUGAUGAUGGUAUUAGUGAAAGCAAAGUCACUGGAAAGGUGACGAGCAAGUUUGGUGGUCCGAGC